CGAUUGCAGGCUGCAACUCGCCUGCAUGAAGUCGGAAUUGCUAGUAAUCGUAGGUCAGCAUACUACGGUGAAUACGUUCCCGGGCCUUGUACACACCGCCCGUCAAACCAUGAGAGUUGGCAACACCCGAAGUCGGUAGUCUAACCGCAAGGAGGACGCCGCCGAAGGUGGGGUUGAUGAUUAGGGUUAAGUCGUAACAAGGUAGC
RNAcentral lists this ribosomal RNA (206 nucleotides) under uncultured bacterium. Its description in RNAcentral is "partial 16S ribosomal RNA". It matches the Rfam family "Bacterial small subunit ribosomal RNA", at positions 1295 to 1500 of the family's 1533-position model. The record is from RNAcentral.